Molecule: ribosomal RNA, 496 nt
Filed under: uncultured bacterium
Lineage: Bacteria
Description: partial 16S ribosomal RNA
Rfam family: Bacterial small subunit ribosomal RNA
Source: RNAcentral
AUUGAACGCUGGCGGCAUGCCUAACACAUGCAAGUCGCACGCGAAAGGGGGCAACCCUGAGUAGAGUGGCGGGCGGGGGAGUAACCCGUAGGAAUCUCACUGGUAGCGGGGGACAACCCGGUGAAAAACGGGCUAAUACCGCCUAAGAACCACGGAUGAAAGCAGGGGACCGCCAGGCCUUGCGGUAUCAGAUGGACCGGCGUCGGAUUAGCUAGUGGGUGGGGUAAGGGCCCACCAAGGCGACGAUCCGUAGCUGGUUUGAGAGAACGACCAGCCACACUGGGACUGAGACACGGCCCAGACUCCUACGGGGGGCAGCAGUGGGGAAUAUUGGACAAUGGGGGCAACCCUGAUCCAGCAAUGCCGCGUGUGUGAAGAAGGCCUUCGGGUUGUAAAGCACUUUCGGUGGGGACAAACAAGGUGGAGCUAACAUCUCCGCCUCUGAUGGUACCCAAAGAAGAAGCACCGGCUAACUCUGUGCCAGCCGCCGCCGUAA